GUGUCAGCAGCCGCGGUAAUACCGGCAGCUCGAGUGAUGACCGAUUUUAUUGGGCCUAAAGCGUCCGUAGCUGGCCACCCAAGUCCGUUGGGAAAUCCACCUGCCCAACAGGUGGGCGUCCAGCGGAAACUGCUUGGCUUGGGACCGGAAGAUCCAAGGGGUACGUCCGGGGUAGGAGUGAAAUCCUGUAAUCCUGGACGGACCGCCGAUGGCGAAAGCACCUUGGAAGGACGGAUCCGACAGUGAGGGACGAAAGCUAGGGUCUCGAACCGGAUUAGAAACCCCCGUAGUCC
This 293-nucleotide ribosomal RNA is filed under the name uncultured prokaryote. RNAcentral describes it as "partial 16S ribosomal RNA". It matches the Rfam family "Archaeal small subunit ribosomal RNA", at positions 455 to 747 of the family's 1478-position model. The record is from RNAcentral.